GACGAACGCUGGCGGCGUGCUUAACACAUGCAAGUCGAACGGUAAGGCCCUUCGGGGUACACGAGUGGCGAACGGGUGAGUAACACGUGGGUGAUCUGCCCUGCACUUCGGGAUAAGCCUGGGAAACUGGGUCUAAUACCGGAUAGGACCACUGCCUGCAUGGGUGGUGGGGGAAAGCUUUUGCGGUGUGGGAUGGGCCCGCGGCCUAUCAGCUUGUUGGUGGGGUGAUGGCCUACCAAGGCGACGACGGGUAGCCGGCCUGGGAGGGUGACCGGCCACACUGGGACUGAGAUACGGCCCAGUCUCCUACGGGAGGCAGCAGUGGGGAAUAUUGCACAAUGGGCGCAAGCCUGAUGCAGCGACGCCGCGUGAGGGAUGACGGCCUUCGGGUUGUAAACCUCUUUCAGCACCGACGAAGCGCAAGUGACGGUAGGUGCAGAAGAAGGACCGGCCAACUACGUGCCAGCAGCCGCAGUAA
This 478-nucleotide ribosomal RNA is filed under the name uncultured bacterium. RNAcentral describes it as "partial 16S ribosomal RNA". It matches the Rfam family "Bacterial small subunit ribosomal RNA", at positions 28 to 523 of the family's 1533-position model. The record is from RNAcentral.